AUGACUUCAUUGUUGCUGGACAGCAUGGACUGCCUGUUGAUGGUGCUGGAAUUGGAAUAGGAGAAAUCAGUGCUCCAGCUAGAUCUUUGUGGGCAGCUUUUAUUGAGUGUCCUCUAUUCAAGGAGGAAGUUGCUGUGGUGGUAAAGAAAUUGAACAUCAACAAAUGGGCCUCGACCACAGGUGGCGAAAACCUUUAAACUUACUCGCUUUAAGGCAGCUAGUGCCGUAAAAAGGAGGUAUGGCUUCACUUCUCCCGACGCUGCUGUCCUCC
Long non-coding RNA from Carcharodon carcharias (great white shark), 271 nucleotides. RefSeq lists it as uncharacterized. The transcript is spliced from 3 exons. NCBI's taxonomy places the organism in Eukaryota, Metazoa, Chordata, Chondrichthyes, Lamniformes, Lamnidae. The record is from RefSeq and is a predicted model, not a curated record.